RNAcentral lists this transfer RNA (74 nucleotides) under Chloroflexi bacterium ADurb.Bin120. Its description in RNAcentral is "tRNA-Thr". It matches the Rfam family "tRNA". Rfam says of the family: Transfer RNA (tRNA) molecules are approximately 80 nucleotides in length. Their secondary structure includes four short double-helical elements and three loops (D, anti-codon, and T loops). The record is from RNAcentral. Lineage: Bacteria; Bacillati; Chloroflexota.
AGCUCUCAUAGUUUAAUUGGAAAAACAGCCGUUUUGUACCUGGCUGAUGCGGGUUCGAUCCCUGCUGAGAGCUA